This 400-nucleotide ribosomal RNA is filed under the name uncultured bacterium. RNAcentral describes it as "partial 16S ribosomal RNA". It matches the Rfam family "Bacterial small subunit ribosomal RNA", at positions 355 to 747 of the family's 1533-position model. The record is from RNAcentral.
UUAGGAAUAUUCGUCAAUGGGGGAAACCCUGAACGAGCGAUGCCGCGUGAGUGAUGAAGGCCCUAUGGGUUGUAAAACUCUGUUGUAUGGGAAGAACAAUUAGGUUAGGAAAUGAACUUAAUUUGACGGUACCAUGCCAGAAAGCUCCGGCUAACUACGUGCCAGCAGCCGCGGUAAUACGUAGGGAGCGAGCGUUAUCCGGAUUUAUUGGGCGUAAAGAGUGCGUAGGCGGUUUAUUAAGUCUAAGAUUAAAGCCCGAGGCUCAACCUCGGUUCGUUUUAGAAACUGAUAGACUUGAGUAUAGUAGAGGCAAGUGGAAUUUCUAGUGUAGCGGUAGAAUGUGUAGAUAUUAGAAGGAACAUCAGUGGCGAAGGCGACUUGCUGGGCUAUUACUGACGCU